This 468-nucleotide ribosomal RNA is filed under the name uncultured bacterium. RNAcentral describes it as "partial 16S ribosomal RNA". It matches the Rfam family "Bacterial small subunit ribosomal RNA", at positions 28 to 507 of the family's 1533-position model. The record is from RNAcentral.
GACGAACGCUGGCGGCGUGCUUAACACAUGCAAGUCGAACGGAAAGGCCCUGCCUUUGUGGGGUGCUCGAGUGGCGAACGGGUGAGUAACACGUGAGUAACCUGCCCUUGACUUUGGGAUAACUUCAGGAAACUGUGGCUAAUACCGGAUAGGAGCUCCUGCUGCAUGGUGGGGGUUGGAAAGUUUCGGCGGUUGGGGAUGGACUCGCGGCUUAUCAGCUUGUUGGUGGGGUAGUGGCUUACCAAGGCGUUGACGGGUAGCCGGCCUGAGAGGGUGACCGGGCACAUUGGGACUGAGGUACGGGCCAGAGUCCAUCGGGAGGCAGCAGUGGGGGAUAGUGCACGAUGGGCGGAAGCCUGGUGCAGGAACGCCGGGUGCGGGAUGACGGCCGUCGGGGUGUAAACCGCGUUCGCCUGUGACGAAGCGUGAGUGACGGUAAUGGGUAAAGAAGCACCGGCUAACUACGUG